AGAGUUUGAUCCUGGCUCAGGAUGAACGCUGGCGGCGUGCUUAACACAUGCAAGUCGAACGGAAAGGCCCUUCGGGGUGCUCGAGUGGCGAACGGGUGAGUAACACUGGGUGAUCUGCCCUGCACUUUGGGAUAAGCCUGGGAAACUGGGGUCUAAUACCGAAUACACCCUGCUGGUCGCAUGGCCUGGUGGGGGAAAGCUUUUGCGGUGUGGGAUGGGCCCGCGGCCUAUCAGCUUGUUGGUGGGGUGAUGGCCUACCAAGGCGACGACGGGUAGCCGGCCUGAGAGGGUGACCGGCCACACUGGGACUGAGAUACGGCCCAGACUCCUACGGGAGGCAGCAGGUGGGGAAUAUUGCACAAUGGGCGCAAGCCUGAUGCAGCGACGCCGCGUGGGGGAUGACGGCCUUCGGGUUGUAAACUCCUUUCGCUCACGACGAAGCGCAAGUGACGGUAGUGAGAGAAGAAGGACCGGCCAACUACGUG
Molecule: ribosomal RNA, 485 nt
Filed under: uncultured bacterium
Lineage: Bacteria
Description: bacterial SSU rRNA
Rfam family: Bacterial small subunit ribosomal RNA
Source: RNAcentral